This 499-nucleotide ribosomal RNA is filed under the name uncultured bacterium. RNAcentral describes it as "bacterial SSU rRNA". It matches the Rfam family "Bacterial small subunit ribosomal RNA", at positions 29 to 526 of the family's 1533-position model. The record is from RNAcentral.
AAUGAACGUUGGCGGCGUGGAUUAGGCAUGCAAGUCGAGCGAGAACCCGCAAGGGGGACAGCGGCGAACGGGGUAGUAAGGCGUAGGUAACGUGCCCUUAGGGCCGGGAUAGCCACGGGAAACUGUGGGUAAUACCGGAUAAUCUCUGAGAGCCGAAAGGCUUUUUGAGCAAUGGGUGUGAUUCCACCUUUGGAGCGGCUUACGUGGUAUUAGCUAGUUGGUGAGGUAAUGGCUCACCAAGGCUACGAUGCCUAGGGGGUGUGAGAGCAUGGCCCCCACCACUGGGACUGAGAUACUGCCCAGACACCUACGGGUGGCUGCAGUCGAGAAUCUUCGGCAAUGGACGAAAGUCUGACCGAGCGACGCCGCGUGCGGGAUGAAGGCCUUCGGGUUGUAAACCGCUGUCAGAGGGGAUGAAAUGCGCAGGAGCUAUCUCUUGCGCUUGACAGAGCCUCAGAGGAAGCACGGGCUAAGUACGUGCCAGCAGCCGCAGUAAAAC